Molecule: ribosomal RNA, 301 nt
Filed under: uncultured bacterium
Lineage: Bacteria
Description: partial 16S ribosomal RNA
Rfam family: Bacterial small subunit ribosomal RNA
Source: RNAcentral
CAGUAGCCGCGGUAAUACGUAGGGUGCAAGCGUUAAUCGGAAUUACUGGGCGUAAAGCGUGCGCAGGCGGUUAUAUAAUACAGAUGUGAAAUCCCCGGGCUCAACCUGGGAACUGCAUUUGUGACUGUAUAGCUAGAGUACGGCAGAGGGGGAUGGAAUUCCGCGUGUAGCAGUGAAAUGCGUAGAUAUGCGGAGGAACACCGAUGGCGAAGGCAAUCCCCUGGGCCUGUACUGACGCUCAUGCACGAAAGCGUGGGGAGCAAACAGGAUUAGAUACCCGCGUAGUCCCUGUCUCUUAUAC